RNAcentral lists this long non-coding RNA (523 nucleotides) under Phoenix dactylifera (date palm). RNAcentral describes it as "long non-coding RNA (PDAC_LNC007974)". The record is from RNAcentral. Lineage: Eukaryota; Viridiplantae; Streptophyta; Magnoliopsida; Arecales; Arecaceae.
AUCCGGACGUCGGGUAUCAUUGCUAGAUGGUCACCUCGAUUAGUGCAUGAAGUAGUUCAUGUACUACCGGCUUAGUGUUCAAACCUAUCGGAGUCACGCACAUAAGUCAAGUUAAGUAGGAAGGACUUGAUCCAAUUUAAUUGAGAAUUAAAUUGUGGGUCAUGUGAGAUUUGGUUUUGUCUAUGUUCAGCUAGCACUGAACAUGAGGUACAUACUGAAUUUCAUGGAUGUGUAUUUGAUUAUGUCUGUAUUCUGGCUUAAUCAAAUUUCAAUUAAUGUAAUUGAAAUUGAUUUGGGCUCAUUUGUUGAGUAUGAUUUUGAAUUGGAUUCAAAUAAAUGUAAUUGGGCUUUAUGAUGAUUUAUUCCAUAUUUAUUCUAGUCCAAGUGUGACUCGGAUUGAUCUGAAAAUUGAACUAAUUGGAGUUCACAUGAAUCAGAUUCAUGUGGAAUUUUUUCGGAUCCAAAAUCUUUCAAAUUGGUCUUCAAUUUGGUUUAGAACCAAUAAUGGACCCAAGCCUAUUUU